UCGAGUUACUCCGGAACACAGUGUUUAUUCUGUGUUUAGUCACGCCGCGUCAAAAAUGUUCCACAGGGUUACUUCCGGUUUAUCGUUGUUUACCUUUGUUUACCAACAGUCGACACUUCGUGUAUUAUGCCUAGGCUUAAUUUUGUCGAUCAUCAUGAAAUUGAAAUACACAUUUAAUAGUUUGGGGUGUAUGCGGUACAUAUUUGUUUAUGAGCGUUUGAUAAGCUACUAUUGAUCUACGAAAUACAACGAAAGACUUCGUCAAGAACAGAAGACGAUGUCGUGUAACUCACACAAGGCCCGGCCCAGCUGUCUAGUAACCGGAGGGGUAAAGGAAAAGAACGUAUUAGACUCACUGAAACCUGUCAAACUGGUUAAUGGGAACAGGAUAAUUUUCCAUGCCUUUCACUUGAGGUCUUCAGUUUCAUCAUUAAUCAUCUGAAUGUCGGUAUGCCAAACUCUCAUGAUGUCAUGCCAUUACUGGAUAUUCCUUAACACUGGUUUAUUUAAACCACACUACCUAUAACAUUGCCAAAUAUUAGACUGAAAAUUUUCAAAUACACAAGAUUUGAAGCAGCAAAAGAAAAGAAUUACAUAUGUAUAAGACACAAAAAAGAAGAAAUUAAUUCUCACCUGGCUGAUAUGAACUUUUUACUCCUUUUUAGCUCCCUUUCACUGCAUACCAGCCAAUAACUAGCAGUCAUUAUAUGCAGAUCAGCCAUUGUUAUCAACCUGUGUAUAUAUAUGUUGAAUAAAAUAUGAAUGAAAA
Ostrea edulis (European flat oyster) is the source of this 769-nucleotide long non-coding RNA. RefSeq lists it as uncharacterized. The transcript is spliced from 2 exons. Lineage: Eukaryota; Metazoa; Mollusca; Bivalvia; Ostreida; Ostreidae. The record is from RefSeq and is a predicted model, not a curated record.